Long non-coding RNA from Amphiprion ocellaris (clown anemonefish), 1268 nucleotides. RefSeq lists it as uncharacterized. The transcript has 4 exons. Lineage: Eukaryota; Metazoa; Chordata; Actinopteri; Pomacentridae. The record is from RefSeq and is a predicted model, not a curated record.
AUCAGAUCCGGUCUGCGCAGCUGGGAGUAAUCUGCCUAAUGCACCUUGCUUGCUGGGCGGUGCCACACCCAGUUAUAUCUAGGAGAGGGCUGUGCGUCUCGUACAUGCAUCCUCUUUCCUGUUCCUGGGCCGGAGGGCUACAUUAGUAGCAUGGUUUAGCAUGGAUUUGCGUGGUGGUUUUUGAGACGCUGGCUGUCGAGCUUUCGCUGUUUCCUGUCAUCAGCAGAGUCGGGCCGUAUUCUGGCUGAAGGCUGGGAGCCGGGCGUAAUAAUUCACGCGCUGCAUUGAAUUUCUGAGUGAUUGAGCUGCAUUUUUCUGCGGCUGUCUCCCCUGUUGCCUGAAAAGCUCUGGCUACAUUGACGGGCGGCUCUACUUCCUGAAGCGGGCUACUGCUGUUCUGUCUGCAGUUCAUCGCGGCAAGCUCUUUGCUCAUCGGCAGCUGUUUUGUUGUUGUAUGAUGUUUAAAAAAAAAAAAAAAAAAAAAAAAGAACAACGAUCUUGGUGAGCUGUUGGGCCAGGUGGCUGGUGGCUGACUGAUUUCCCCCGGCGGUGGUGGUCCCUUCACUCCCUGUACAAUAGUGCACUUGGGUGUUCGUCAAUGAUUUUGUUUUUGUUGGAGCCAAAAUAUGGUUACUUUGUUUAGAUUGUUGAUAGUGUUGGUAUGACUGUGUGGGUGUGGCUUUAGGAGCCACGGGGUUGCCCUCUGUUGGGAGUAGACUGCAUAUAUGAUGGCUAAUGAAUGAAUGAAUUCAGGUGUGCAGUUUGGAGAAGGAAGCCGAACAGUUUUCGACCGUGCUCAAACGCCGUGUCAAGCAGAUGAAUGUUGUCAGGUUUUAUAAUGUUGGAAACUUAAUGUUGACUUAAUGAUAACUUACCUGCAGUGCCGUAAAUAAAAGAAACAUCCAGUACAAACGAGCAGAGACACUGUUUUAAUUUGAAGCCGCACGCGUAAGACUGGAGGACACUAACUGCCACCUCAGUGACUACAGGUAAAGUCACUACAGUUUUGUUCACGUGUGGUGUGGUGCAUUAAGACCCUUCCCUUCUCCCCUCCAGUUCGUCAUCGCUGCCUGGUAAAGCCCUCAGCCCUGUGCCUGGUGACUGUUUCGGUGGCACACUUAAUUAAAGUCAGGGGGGGCCCUUGAGGAUUAGAUUAAUACUGUGCCACUUACUACCAAGUUAUGUCUUGGCAUCGCCAACAAGGUCUGUUUUAGAAAGAGUGUACAUUUUUAAAUAUUGUUAAUAAAUUUCAUUUUUCUAUACUUAAA